UACGUAGGGAGCAAGCGUUGUCCGGAAUCAUUGGGCGUAAAGCGCGCGUAGGCGGCCCCGUAAGUCCGCUGUGAAAGUCAAAGGCUCAACCUUUGAAAGCCGGUGGAUACUGUGGGGCUAGAGUACGGAAGAGGCGAGUGGAAUUCCUGGUGUAGCGGUGGAAUGCGCAGAUAUCAGGAGGAACACCGGUGGCGAAGGCGGGUCUCUGGGCCGAUACUGACGCUGAGGAGCGAAAGCGUGGGGAGCGAACAGG
This 253-nucleotide ribosomal RNA is filed under the name uncultured bacterium. RNAcentral's name for it is "partial 16S ribosomal RNA". It matches the Rfam family "Bacterial small subunit ribosomal RNA", at positions 524 to 776 of the family's 1533-position model. The record is from RNAcentral.